GACGAACGCUGGCGGCGUGCUUAACACAUGCAAGUCGAACGGAAAGGCCCUGCUUUUGUGGGGUGCUCGAGUGGCGAACGGGUGAGUAACACGUGAGUAACCUGCCCUUUACUUUGGGAUAACUUCAGGAAACUGGGGCUAAUACCGGAUAGGAGCUCCUGCUGCAUGGUGGGGGUUGGAAAGUUUCGGCGGUUGGGGAUGGACUCGCGGCUUAUCAGCUUGUUGGUGGGGUAGUGGCUUACCAAGGCUUUGACGGGUAGCCGGCCUGAGAGGGUGACCGGCCACAUUGGGACUGAGAUACGGCCCAGACUCCUACGGGAGGCAGCAGUGGGGAAUAUUGCACAAUGGGCGGAAGCCUGAUGCAGCAACGCCGCGUGCGGGAUGACGGCCUUCGGGUUGUAAACCGCUUUCGCCUGUGACGAAGCGUGAGUGACGGUAAUGGGUAAAGAAGCACCGGCUAACUACGUG
This 468-nucleotide ribosomal RNA is filed under the name uncultured bacterium. RNAcentral describes it as "partial 16S ribosomal RNA". It matches the Rfam family "Bacterial small subunit ribosomal RNA", at positions 28 to 507 of the family's 1533-position model. The record is from RNAcentral.